RNAcentral lists this ribosomal RNA (274 nucleotides) under uncultured bacterium. RNAcentral describes it as "partial 16S ribosomal RNA". It matches the Rfam family "Bacterial small subunit ribosomal RNA", at positions 523 to 796 of the family's 1533-position model. The record is from RNAcentral.
AUACGGAGGGUGCAAGCGUUAAUCGGAUUUACUGGGCGUAAAGCGUGCGUAGGCGGUUUGAUAAGUCAGAUGUGAAAGCCCCGGGCUCAACCUGGGAACUGCAUUUGAAACUGUCAAACUAGAGUUUGGUAGAGGGUAGUAGAAUUCCUGGUGUAGCGGUGAAAUGCGUAGAUAUCAGGAGGAAUACCAGUGGCGAAGGCGGCUACCUGGACCAAAACUGACGCUGAGGUACGAAAGCGUGGGUAGCAAACAGGAUUAGAUACCCCAGUAGUCC